This 2554-nucleotide long non-coding RNA is filed under the name Takifugu rubripes (torafugu). RNAcentral's name for it is "lncRNA (ENSTRUG00000026441.1)". The record is from RNAcentral. Lineage: Eukaryota; Metazoa; Chordata; Actinopteri; Tetraodontiformes; Tetraodontidae.
CUUGCAAUUGCACUUCAGUCUCUGAGGAGCGUGGGACUGACACACUGUGACAUAAAGCUGGACAAUAUUAUGUUAGUGGACCAUGAAAAGCAGCCUUUCAGAGUCAAACUUAUUGACUUUGGCCUUGCUGGGGUUGCAUCCACUAUACCACAGGGCUCAGUUAUACAGGCCCUCUGUUUCAGGUAAUUAUUUUUACAAAUGUUUAAAAUCCUGGAAAUCUAUAAACAACCAACUGUAAAAAGCAAAUUAACACCCUUUUAUAAGGUCUCCAGAGGUCCUUUUGGGUCUUCCGUUGACAGAGGCUGUGGACAUUUGGUCUUUGGGCUGUGUGGUUGGAAAGUUACACCUUGGGAAUCGGCUGUUUGAUGGGUACAAUGAGUAUGACGUGAUGAGGAGCAUUGUGGAGCUACUAGGUCAACCUCCAAAUCGAAUGCUGGAUGCAGGGAAAAAAACGAAGCAAUACUUUAAGAAAAGCAUGUUUGCAUGGAAUCAAUCAUGGAAACUAAAGACAGGCAGAAGAGCAGGACAUAAUUUUCUGGAUUCUCUGGAUGACAUUUUAUGCGCCUUCCCUACUAAAGGCAGUGAAAAUUCAGAACUUGGUCUUUUUGUGAACAUGUUAAAGAAAAUGCUUGACGUAGAUCCUGCUACACGCAUUACUCCAGCUCAACUGCUGCAACAUGGUUUUCUGACAAACACUGAGGUGGGGACUACCUCUGAAGAGCUAGAGGUUACUGCCAGCCAGGAAACUGGACAGACGUUGCAGUCGCAGUGUGAAACCCCCCAGAAGAACCAAGAGAGCCAAUUAAAAACAGGGCAGAAAAGAAAGCAUGAGUCUAAAAAUGAUGAUCCAACUUGUCACGACUCCAAGCGGCCUAAAAUUCAGUCAAGGUGACACCAAGAAAGGACACAGAAAUAAAUGCUGUGAACUCCACUAUUCAGAGGAAGUUGCCUGAUGGGAAGGAUGGUGGGCCUCAUUGCUCCACCUCGAUGGCCGUGCCCAGGUUCAGCCAAAAAACUUUGAAAAGAAGAAGGAAAUAUGCAGGCAGUAAAGGAGAGAAAAAGUAACAGACUCCCUGAACACAUAUGUUUGGGGUACAGUCCCAUCUGGUCUUUCAAUCACGUAUUAACCCCGAAUUACAAUAAAGGAAGCUGAUUUCAUUAUUUUAAACAUUAGUUUCUGUUAUUUUCAAGACCAUAAAGUGUUUACAGAAAAACAACAAAUUGGUGCAUUCAAAUUACCGUAUUUUCUGGACUAUAUGUCGCUCCGGAGUUUAAGUCGCACUAGCCAAAAAAAAUGCAUAAUAAAGAACAAAAAUAGAUAUAUAAGUCGCACUGGACUAUAAGUCGCAUUUUGGGGGGAAAAUUAAUUUGAUAAAAUCCGAGACCAAGAACAUACGUUUCAUCUUGAAAGGCAAUUAGCAUGGAUUAGCAAUAGGGUUACGGUAUGCUAACGUAACAAAUUCAGCUACAUGGCCCACAACGAACUGAGUAUGUGUGUGCUUUGUUAACGUAACAUAUUAACAGUUAUUCAGAUAAUUAUAGCAUAAAGAACAUCCGAGCAAGUUUACCAAACAAUCAAGUCUAACUCCAUAGACGAAGCACCGCUUCUUCUGCGUCGUUCCUCAGGUACACACGCCUAGAGCCUCUCUUGUGGUUGUCAGUGUGAAAAUAACGAACAUGUGAAAUUCUGUAAUAAUGUAUUUAUUUAAGUCGCUCCGGAGUACAAGUCGCACCCCCUGACAAACUAUGAAAAAAAGUGCAACUUAUAGUCCAGAAAUACGGUAAUAUAAUUAUUAUUUGGGAACUUAUUCCCUUUUUUGUUGUGCCUGAGGAAAAGUUGACCGAUUUUUACUCUGUUCCAUUUACUCUGCCUAUUGUUGCGCACAAAAUUGGAUUAACAAUAUUUAAAAUGUUUUUUCAAAUAUUUUAUUCUUCGAAGAUAAAAACAUUGCAAAAAUAACAUAAUUUAAGAGGCAAAAAAUGUUUUAUCCCAACUUUCUGGGCAAUAGUGAUAUAAAGCUGAUGUAUAAGUAGUUUGUAUACAGUUGCUAAAACAGACAGGAAACAGCUAAUAAAUGCUUGAGAUAUGUUUCAUAAAGAUACACAACUUGUACUUGUAUUCAUCUAUUUUUAAUUAAUCCUGCACAAUCAUCAACACAAUCAUCCUUAGCAGAUGUAUGUGUUGCUCUCACCAGUGUUUUCAGUGUAAAUCACCACAGUAAUUAUACAGAAAAUAAUCAGCCACCUUCUCUCAGUGUUUUUCUCUCAGGUGAUCAUGUUUCUGGACCCCGGCAGCCUUGGCCUUGAGUAGCAUAACUAAGAUGUUAACCGAAUAAUUAGACAACCCCCUAAGUAUGAUAAUUUGUCUGUCUAGGAUAGUAACUACAACUCCAGAAUUAUUGACAAUAAGCUUUUUCAAAGAGGUAGGUUUUAAGCCUAAUUUUAAAAGUAGAGAUGGAGUCAGCCUCCCAUACCUGGACAAGAAGCUGGUUCCAUAGCAGGGGGGCCUGGUAGCUAAAUGCUCGGCCCCCCAUUCUACCUCUAGAGACUCUAG